Arachis duranensis is the source of this 536-nucleotide long non-coding RNA. RefSeq lists it as uncharacterized. NCBI's taxonomy places the organism in Eukaryota, Viridiplantae, Streptophyta, Magnoliopsida, Fabales, Fabaceae. The transcript has 3 exons. The record is from RefSeq and is a predicted model, not a curated record.
UUCACAGCAGGUAGCCGGCGACCUUAUUUGAUCUUGCAUGGUUGAUGAUGCCCCUGGAGUCAAGACGACUUGGACUCUUUCCAUCUGCUCUGUCUUCGCACCAUGUUAUCUCCGAAGCAGCAACCAGGCUUCAUCAACAUGGCCUUCCAUCAUCGCCUGGCCAAGCUCCAUCAUACCAUCUUCCUUAUAUCUCAGCCCAUGAUUCGCACUGUGGCUCCCCUGCCUCAUAAUCCCCCAGCCGCAACUUUAAAAUAGCCCUGUCUUGGGUUGCAUGUAGAUCGUCUGUCUCAGAUCCCUGACGAUCUGGAUGAAAUCCUGAUUUCCCUGUCUCAUUGCCUGGUGGUUUGAUGCUCCAACUCACUGGUAAUGUUUCUGCUUCUGCUGCUUUCGCCACCGCAUGGGCUAACCGAUUUCCGUUUCUGGGGGUCCAAGUUACUCCCUUUUCAGCUAUUGCUCCUGUUCCCGUGUCUUUCUUGAAGGCUGCAUCAACAUUAGCUUUUAGCCAGUUCUCAGGGGGAGGUCUCCAUUUCACCAGG